This 1305-nucleotide ribosomal RNA is filed under the name Triticum aestivum (bread wheat). RNAcentral describes it as "partial small subunit ribosomal RNA". Lineage: Eukaryota; Viridiplantae; Streptophyta; Magnoliopsida; Poales; Poaceae. The record is from RNAcentral.
AUGGCCGCCGGCGACGUCGCGACGGUGUUCCUCGAGAUGAGCCUCGGCACCCGCCUCGCCGUCUCCUUCCCCGCCUCCUCCACCACCGUCGCCGACCUCAAGCGUACGUACCCCUUUUCUUUGAGCUCUUCUUUGCUUGUCUACCUGGCUGUAUGUCUCGCUUCAAGAUGCGAUGAACAAGUCCUCCUGCAUCUAGAACAGAUCUUGCAUUUUGCUUCUUUCUCUUGGUUUCAAAUCGAGUCAAAAUCAAUUCGGACAAAACCCCAAUCUUCAUUUAUUUCACUUUUGUUUGCGGGGAAAAACCCCAAUCUUGAUUUAAUUUCCUUGUUCGGGUUACCAGGCAGAGUGAGCCAUGAGCACGCCGCAUGUUUCCCCCACCUUGGCCAGAUCGCCGUCCAAUCCAUCAAGAUCGAGCACGGAAGGUCGUGGUUCCACCUCGCCGACUCCAUGGCCGUCCGGGACGCUUUCCUGUUCCAAGGGAUCAACGAACGCUGGCACCUGCAGGUAGACGCAUCUCUGCAAGUUGACCAAGGGAUGGUCACCCAGGGACACAGCGGCGGCGCAGACUCUGCAAAUCACUCUGCACCUGCGCCUGGUCGUGGCCAUGGAUGCGAGGGGUCGUCGAGCAGGAGGUGCCGCAAGACAUCAAGCUCUGAUGAGAUGCUGCCUGAUCAGGUUGAAGCUGAAGCUCAAGCUCAAGUCACCCCCAGUGAAAGGGAGCAGCCAUUGACAGGCAAGGGCGAAGGAAGCAGCGACGGGGCAGAACAAGACAGAGAGCAGGGGGCAUGGGGGAGAAGGCUGCGGCCGAGGACCCAUGUUGGUAAAACACCAAUUACUUUGUCAAGCGGCAGCAGCAGCAGCUCAGAGUCGGAGGAAAUGGACACCAACACCGUCGGCGGCGGCAGCAGCAGCAGCUCCGAGUCGGAGGAAAUGGACAUCAACACCGUCGUCGACGCGCCGGCGCCGCAGUUCGUCGUCGAGCUCAAGAAAUGCCACUUUGUCAAGCAGAAUGGGCAGUACCUGAACGUGCCGAUGGAGUUCGGCAUUGUGCACCGGUACACGGAGAAGAAGAAGGUGCUGCUGCGGAUGGGGGGCGACUCGUGGGCCGUCAGCCUGAAGCACGGCCUUACGUCUACCGGCAGGCCCCGCACGUCCCUCCGGUACGGGUGGCAGCAGUUCCGCGUCGACAACCGCCUCCGCGUGGGCGAGACCUGCUUCUUCCGAGCCCUCCCCGGGGACGGCGGCGGCGAUCACCAUGUGCUCAAGGUGGAGGUGCGCAGGCUAGACGGCAGCUACGCCACCUGA